GGAAGCAAGCAGCGAACGGCUCAGUAACGCAGUCCGGACCGGCUUGGCAGAAUGCGGCGGACACCCGAGGAAACCUUCGGUCAAGACGACGAAAGGAAGGGGGCAUCCGAGAGGAGACAGGACGCCAGAGCGGCGCAGGGCGCAGCCAAACGGGAGACUGGCCCAUCAGCUAGAAGGCCGGGUACGGGCCGGCCUUGGCGACGACGGGAGACGGGGAAUAGGGGUUUGAUUCCGGAGAGGGUGUAUGAGACAUGGCACCUAGGUCCAAGGACCGCAGCAGGCGCGGAAAUUGCUCACUUCCCAGAGGGAGAAGCAGCGAGGAGACAUACGGCGGAUGGGCGCGGGGCAAUGCAGCGCGCGACGAGCGACUGGAGGGCAAGUCUGGUGCCAGCAGCCGCGGUAAUUCCAGCUCCAGAAGGGUCUGUGGUGGUUGCUGCAGUUAAAAGGUCCGCAGCCGGGCAGGGCGCCCGUGGGGAAAGCAGGCGGCUCAAAGGGAGCGUUGAGCACGGGACAAGGGCCGAGAGGGGCAGGCGGGGGCAGGAGGAUUUGGCAGCCAGAGGUGAAAUUCGGAGACUUGCCGAGGACGGACAGAGGCGAAGGCGCCUGCCAGGGAUGCUUUCAUUGGUCAGGGACGAAGGCCGGAGGAUCGAAGACGAUUAGAGACCGUUGUAGUUCCGGCGGUAAACGAUGCCGACAGGGACGUCCGGGCCGAAGGCGGCGCGGGCGGCCCAAGAGAAAUCAAGAGUGCGCGGGCUCUGGGGAAAGUAUAGUCGCAAGACGGAAACUUAAAGGAAAUUGACGGAGAGAUACCACAAAGAGUGGAGCAUGCGGCUUAAUUUGACUCAACACGGGGCAGCUUACCGGCGGAGGAUGUCGUGGGGAUCAGAAGGAGAUUCGGCAGAGAGUGGUGCAUGGCCGCUCUUGGCCCGUGGGGUGACCUGUCUGGUUGAUUCCGCUAACGGGCGUGAUCCGCGUGCCUGAGGCAGGCAGACGGCCGGCGGGUAGCCGGAGGAGGGCGGGCGAUAGCAGGUCCGUGAUGCCCUUGGAAGCGGCGGGCUGCACGCGUGCUACAGUGCGCGCAGGAGAAAGUGCCGAGAGGCGCGAGCGGAGCGGCGCGCGGGGGAUGCCCGGCUGGAAGCGCGGGCCGAACGAGGAAUUCUCAGUAUCCGCGGGUCACCAGCCCGCGGAGACAGCGUCCCUGUCUCUUGUACACACCGCCCGUCGCUAUCUG
RNAcentral lists this ribosomal RNA (1231 nucleotides) under Nematocida homosporus. RNAcentral's name for it is "SSU rRNA". It matches the Rfam family "Microsporidia small subunit ribosomal RNA", at positions 68 to 1208 of the family's 1311-position model. Lineage: Eukaryota; Fungi; Microsporidia. The record is from RNAcentral.